Molecule: ribosomal RNA, 460 nt
Filed under: uncultured Geobacillus sp.
Lineage: Bacteria; Bacillati; Bacillota; Bacilli; Caryophanales; Anoxybacillaceae
Description: bacterial SSU rRNA
Rfam family: Bacterial small subunit ribosomal RNA
Source: RNAcentral
CACAAGCGGUGGAGCAUGUGGUUUAAUUCGAAGCAACGCGAAGAACCUUACCAGGUCUUGACAUCCCCUGACAACCCAAGAGAUUGGGCGUUCCCCUUCGGGGGACAGGGUGACAGGUGGUGCAUGGUUGUCGUCAGCUCGUGUCGUGAGAUGUUGGGUUAAGUCCCGCAACGAGCGCAACCCUCGCCUCUAGUUGCCAGCAUUCGGUUGGGCACUCUAGAGGGACUGCCGGCGACAAGUCGGAGGAAGGUGGGGAUGACGUCAAAUCAUCAUGCCCCUUAUGACCUGGGCUACACACGUGCUACAAUGGGCGGUACAAAGGGCUGCGAACCCGCGAGGGGGAGCGAAUCCCAAAAAGCCGCUCUCAGUUCGGAUUGCAGGCUGCAACUCGCCUGCAUGAAGCCGGAAUCGCUAGUAAUCGCGGAUCAGCAUGCCGCGGUCGAAUACGUUCCCGGGCCUU